AUUCUGUUCGCCAGGCCUAGGGAGAGAGCACUGGCCCUACUCUGGGCAGGAAGUCAACAGGGGAGUGGAGAGUAAUGCUAAGAAAACAUCCCCCGUCUUUCAGGAGGGUGAACUGCUUUCCCCUGAAAUCGCCACAUCCUCAGUUUCUCAAAAUAAGGGAAAGGAGUCCGCUUGAGCUACUGACAAGAUGAAAGAACUGUUAAGGGGCCUAACGAGAGAAAGAGAAAAGGACUAGGAGGAGAAAAGUGUCUUUCGUGUUAAGGAAGACAGGACGAGGCACACAAGGACCGGCCACGAGCUUGCUAGGAGUUAAUGUAAGCAAUCAGUGAGUGCGUAGUUCGCUACCCAGCAAGAACCAAAUGCUGCUGCUGCUGCUACUGCUGCUGAAGUCGAACUUUAAGAACUCAGUAACCUAAAGAGGAGUUUGAAGAGGUAUCAUGAAACGCCGUCCUGCGGAAACAUCCACCAUCCGGACCACUGAGGGACCCCAGAACCCAACCUCCAACUGAGUGAACACGGGGAAUGCUCAGAUAGAGAGGCAAGGACCUUGGUCUGCUCCCUCCAUGUAAGAGCUGAUCUGGCUUCCCUAUGGUCACUGAAGGAGUUCCAUCUACCUGUUGGGCCACCUCAGGCUUGGGCCCGAGUUCUAGUAGGCGCCGAGCAAAGGUGGCAGCUGUCUUGAAGUUCUUGAGCUUGAAGAACAGAUUGAGGGCUGUACGCAGCACCAGGAUCAUGUGCACAGGCUGCAGGUUUGAGUGGGUGAAAUAGGCUGCCAUCUGGUGGACAGAAAAAGGAACACAUGCCAGGUUGAUGCUACACCUGGUAGAAGUCAUUUCUAAGCUGCUACACAUGCAUAAAAAACACAACACAAAAUAGGAUGAUGGGCUAUAAAGCUGAGAGGUCUUCUACCUCCUAGGUAUGGAGGACUGGUGAGAUGAGGAAGUAGGAUGAAGAAAUGUAUCCUCCCCUCAUAGAAAUGAAGGGCCUAAAUUUCUCUUCAUCCCCACUCAGAUCUGGGUUUGAAAUUAAAGAAUUCAAACCUAGUGAAGGGUGAAGGGAAGGACGUCUCUGUUGUGCUCAGGGUCCUAUAGAUCUUACCUCACAGAUGCGCUUCUGCUGUUCUAGAGUCUCUUUGGGCAGCUUCUUCCUUUCUGUCUCCACGGACAAACCCACAAUGUACUCACGGCAAAUGGUGAUGAGCUGCUGGGCCUGUAGAGGGGGCAGAAGGUCAGGAUACAGAGACAAGAAUGUGGAAGUGCCCAGAACUGGGACAGCGGCUAGACCCUCCUACCUCUGCAAUCUCUUGUUUAUUGUCCACAACAAGAAGUGGCACACUGAGAAGGAUGGAACGGAAUUUUUCCACAGCCUCCUCAAAUUUGCCAACUGUGGUGAGCUGGUAGCACAGCUGCAACCGUUGGAUGAGGUCAUUAAGCUUCAGGCCCACAGCUGGUACACCAUUCUUCAGCCCUGCAUCCUUCCUGGAAAGGGAAAAGUAGGAAGAAGACAGGAUAGUCAGUAGGCAACUAGGACCCAAUUUCCUUUUCUGGCAAACAUCCUCAUAGCUACCCUCCUGUCUCCUGUUAAAGUAGCUGGGGAAGAGGAUGACAGCAGGUGUAAACCAACCCCAUAGAGUAACAAACCAAAGAUCUUUUUCUACUGGGAAACCCUAGCUCUGAGAGAAUUCUGACUAUGUCACUGAGGCUACCAUCUGAAAUAUCGACCACAACUUGGAACAGAUGAAAGCAAAGAGAAAAGGGCCUUACCAGUUGCGAUUAGGAUAGCCAUACAUGGAGGGUAGGCAGGGCAGAGCCUGAUAGGUUGUGCGGCCUCGGGCGUAUGUCUGUAGGAACAGUUGCUUGUAGGGGCCAAACUGGAUUACCCCUACUUGGUCAUGAAGGAGCUGGAACAGAAGGAAAGAAACAAGGAUUUUGGCCCUGCUGCAUAAAAAGCUACUUUUCCUUGGGCAAGGUAAUUAAUUUCUCUGUUCACGUUUCCUCAUCAGUAAAAUACACUUAAUUGUAAGACCUACCUCAUUUAAUGAUACCUAUUAAAGUAUUUAGGAUAGUGCCUGGCACACAGUGAACAUUAAAUAAACGUUAGCAGUUA
Long non-coding RNA from Homo sapiens (human), 2106 nucleotides. RefSeq lists it as uncharacterized. The record is from RefSeq and is a predicted model, not a curated record. NCBI's taxonomy places the organism in Eukaryota, Metazoa, Chordata, Mammalia, Primates, Hominidae. The transcript is spliced from 3 exons.